RNAcentral lists this ribosomal RNA (23 nucleotides) under Xerocomellus sp. 2 JF-2015. Its description in RNAcentral is "partial 28S ribosomal RNA". Lineage: Eukaryota; Fungi; Basidiomycota; Agaricomycetes; Boletales; Boletaceae. The record is from RNAcentral.
ACUUGACCUCNAAUCAGGUAGGA